UACGUAGGGGGCAAGCGUUGUCCGGAUUUAUUGGGCGUAAAGCGCUCGCAGGUGGUUCGUCGCGUCGUGCGUGAAAGACCCCGGCUCAACUGGGGGAGGUCGUGCGAUACGGGCGGGCUGGAGGCCAGUAGGGGGAUGCGGAAUUCCGGGUGUAGUGGUGGAAUGCGUAGAGAUCCGGAGGAACACCAGCGGCGAAGGCGGCAUCCUGGACUGGUCCUGACACUCAUGAGCGAAAGCGUGGGGAGCGAUCCGG
Molecule: ribosomal RNA, 253 nt
Filed under: uncultured bacterium
Lineage: Bacteria
Description: partial 16S ribosomal RNA
Rfam family: Bacterial small subunit ribosomal RNA
Source: RNAcentral